AUUAGCUUGUUGGUGGGGUAAUGGCCUACCAAGGCAACGAUGGGUAGCUGGUCUGAGAGGACGAUCAGCCACACUGGGACUGAGACACGGCCCAGACUCCUACGGGAGGCAGCAGUGGGGAAUCUUGCGCAAUCGCAAGGCCUCAUGCUAUAGGCCGCGUGCGGGAAGACGGCCUUAGGGUUGUAAACCGCUUUCAGUUGGGACGAAGCUUCAGCCGUUAAUAGCGGUUUGGAGUGACGGUACCUUCAGAAGAAGCUCCGGCUAACUACGUGCCAGCAGCCGCGGUAAUACGUAGGGGGCGAGCGUUGUCCGGAAUCAUUGGGCGUAAAGCGCGUGUAGGCGGUUCAGUAAGUCUGCUGUGAAAGUCCAAGGCUCAACCUUGGGAUGCCGGUGGAUACUGCUGGACUAGAGUCUGGAAGGGGCGAGUGGAAUUCCUGGUGUAGCGGUGGAAUGCGCAGAUAUCAGGAGGAACACCUAUGGCGAAGGCAGCUCGCUGGGACAGUACUGACGCGAAAGCGUGGGGAGCAAACAGGAUUAGAUACCCGGUAGUCCACGCCCUAAACGAUGUCAACCGAUGGAUACUAGGUGUGGGGGGUGUCAACUCCCUCCGUGCCGACGCUAACGCAUUAAGU
RNAcentral lists this ribosomal RNA (632 nucleotides) under Patulibacter sp. Its description in RNAcentral is "bacterial SSU rRNA". It matches the Rfam family "Bacterial small subunit ribosomal RNA", at positions 240 to 865 of the family's 1533-position model. The record is from RNAcentral. Lineage: Bacteria; Bacillati; Actinomycetota; Thermoleophilia; Solirubrobacterales; Patulibacteraceae.